UACGUAGGGGGCAAGCGUUGUCCGGAAUCAUUGGGCGUAAAGAGCGUGUAGGCGGCUUGGUAAGUCCGCUGUGAAAGUCCAGGGCUCAACCCUGGAAUGCCGGUGGAAACUGUCAAGCUUGAGUCCGGAAGAGGCGAGUGGAAUUCCUGGUGUAGCGGUGAAAUGCGCAGAUAUCGGGAGGAACACCGGUGGCGAAGGCGGUUCUCUGGGCCUUACCUGACGCUGAGGAGCGAAAGCGUGGGGAGCAAACGGG
Molecule: ribosomal RNA, 253 nt
Filed under: uncultured bacterium
Lineage: Bacteria
Description: partial 16S ribosomal RNA
Rfam family: Bacterial small subunit ribosomal RNA
Source: RNAcentral